GUGCCAGCAGCCGCGGUAAUACGUAGGGGGCAAGCGUUGUCCGGAAUUAUUGGGCGUAAAGCGCGCGCAGGCGGUUCUUUAAGUCUGGUGUCUAAGUGCGGGGCUCAACCCCGUGACGCACUGGAAACUGGGGAACUUGAGUGCAGAAGAGGAGAGCGGAAUUCCACGUGUAGCGGUGAAAUGCGUAGAGAUGUGGAGGAACACCAGUUGCGAAGGCGCCUUGCUGGCCGAUUGCUGACGCUGAGGCGCGAAAGCGUGGGGAGCAAACAGGAUUAGAUACCCUGGUAGUCCACGCCGUAAACGAUGAGUGCUAGGUGUUGGCGGUUUCAAUACCGUCAGUGCCGAAGCUAACGCAUUAAGCACUCCGCCUGGGGAGUACGGUCGCAAGACUGAAACUCAAAGGAAUUGACGG
Molecule: ribosomal RNA, 412 nt
Filed under: uncultured bacterium
Lineage: Bacteria
Description: bacterial SSU rRNA
Rfam family: Bacterial small subunit ribosomal RNA
Source: RNAcentral